This 450-nucleotide ribosomal RNA is filed under the name uncultured bacterium. RNAcentral describes it as "partial 16S ribosomal RNA". It matches the Rfam family "Bacterial small subunit ribosomal RNA", at positions 354 to 796 of the family's 1533-position model. The record is from RNAcentral.
GUGGGGAAUUUUGGACAAUGGGCGCAAGCCUGAUCCAGCAAUGCCGCGUGUGUGAAGAAGGCCUUCGGGUUGUAAAGCACUUUUGGCAGGAAAGAAAUAGCGUGUGCUAAUACCAUGCGCGAAUGACGGUACCUGCAGAAUAAGCACCGGCUAACUACGUGCCAGCAGCCGCGCUCAGACGUAGGGUGCAAGCGUUAAUCGGAAUUACUGGGCGUAAAGCGUGCGCAGGCGGUUUUGUAAGACAGGUGUGAAAGCCCCGGGCUCAACCUGGGAACUGCACUUGUGAAUGGAAGGAUAGAGUGUGUCAGAGGAAGGUGGAAUUCCGCGUGUAGCAGUGAAAUGCGUAGAGAUGCGGAGGAACACCGAUGGCGAAGGCAGCCUCCUGGGAUAACACUGACGCUCAGGCACGAAAGCGUGGGGAGCAAACAGGAUUAGAAACCCUGGUAGUCC